UGCAAGUCGAGGGGCAGCGGGAGUGCUUGCACUCGCCGGCGACCGGCGCACGGGUGCGGAACGCGUAUGGAAUCUACCUCUUUCUGGGGAAUAGCCCAUGGAAACGUGGAUUAAUACCCCAUAGUAUUCAGAGAUCGCAUGAUCUCUGUCUUAAAGCUUUGGCGGAAAGAGAUGACCAUGCGUAUCAUUAGCUAGUAGGCGAGGUAACGGCUCACCUAGGCAACGAUGAUUAGGGGUCCUGAGAGGGAGAUCCCCCACACUGGUACUGAGACACGGACCAGACUCCUACGGGAGGCAGCAGUGAGGAAUAUUGGACAAUGGUCGAAAGACUGAUCCAGCCAUGCCGCGUGCAGGAUGAAUGCCCUAUGGGUUGUAAACUGCUUUUAUACGGGAAGAACACCACCCACGUGUGGGUGACUGACGGUACCGUAAGAAUAAGGACCGGCUAACUCCGUGCCAGCAGCCGCGGUAAUACGGAGGGUCCAAGCGUUAUCCGGAAUCAUUGGGUUUAAAGGGUCCGUAGGCGGGCUAUUAAGUCAGAGGUGAAAGUUUGCAGCUCAACUGUAAAAUUGCCUUUGAUACUGGUAGUCUUGAGUUAUAGUGAAGUGGUUAGAAUAUGUGGUGUAGCGGUGAAAUGCAUAGAUAUCACAUAGAAUACCAAUUGCGAAGGCAGAUCACUAACUAUAUACUGACGCUGAUGGACGAAAGCGUGGGGAGCGAACGGGAUUAGAUACCCUGGUAGAAGGGC
Molecule: ribosomal RNA, 748 nt
Filed under: uncultured Flavobacteriia bacterium
Lineage: Bacteria; Pseudomonadati; Bacteroidota; Flavobacteriia
Description: bacterial SSU rRNA
Rfam family: Bacterial small subunit ribosomal RNA
Source: RNAcentral